AACAACAUCAUUACCAUAAUCCAGCAGCUACUUGCUACUUAGCGGAUAUCUUACAAGUUGCUCACACACACACACAUACUACACGCUUAAAAGAGAUUGGCACUCACACCGACCUGCCUCACAGCGCGCCUACCUGCCACUCAUCACCUGCACUGGUACCGAACCCCACCAACCACUGCUGCUGCGGCCGUUUUCACGCUGCCGCCAGCCGCUAUUGAGCGCCUCAGCACAGUCGCAUUUCAGUCUCACAACGGCUUUCAGCAGCGACGCGCAUACAACGGCGAACUGUUGCAAACGACACAGCAUUCGUUUAAGUAAACAAGUGAAAAGAAAUAGAAAUAAUAAAUGCUUUAGUUGCGGAUAAACAAAAGACGCUUCAGCAACAGUCAAAUGAGAGAGAUACAAGCGUGUAGAAAGCAGCAAUCAAGGUGAGGGAGAACGGCGCUUAAGUUUCAUUAAGAAAGUCUGUGUAGGAAAAGCGCACUUUUUUCAAACGCGUAUACCAGAAACUAUCACAUCACUACACACACACACGCACCGAAAGCAUAAACAAAGCGCUGUGGGUAGUGAUGAGCACUGUUAGCAUUGCUUUAAGCGCAGAUUAAAUUAGCUAAUUUCGCGUAAAUUGCAUUGAAAUAAAAGCAGUGAAUUCUAAGAUAAGCUAUCCGCGCGCAGUGGUGCUACCUCAGUUGCAACGAGAAAGACGGACUUGAUUUUAAUGAAAGUUCGCGGAAUAUGAACCUGAAAGCUUGUUUACUAAAAA
Molecule: non-coding RNA, 763 nt
Organism: Bactrocera oleae (olive fruit fly)
Lineage: Eukaryota; Metazoa; Arthropoda; Insecta; Diptera; Tephritidae
Source: RefSeq, a predicted model, not a curated record